Molecule: ribosomal RNA, 969 nt
Filed under: Triticum aestivum (bread wheat)
Lineage: Eukaryota; Viridiplantae; Streptophyta; Magnoliopsida; Poales; Poaceae
Description: partial small subunit ribosomal RNA
Source: RNAcentral
AUGCGGUACGCGGCGGGCGACACGCGAUGGCGUGCGACCUUCGCGCCUGAUCUCCUCGCCGCCCGAUCGAUCACGUUCGACGUCGGCGAGAUCGUGCUCCGACAUGAGGCGCUGCGUCUGGUUCUUCUCGAUGGGGAGGGACACCCGGUGGACGCUCGUUCUCUGCGUGAGGGGGAGUACUUCGACAUCGGGCAUAUUGUGGCGUUCCCAUGUUUUUUCGCCAGGAUCUGGGAUAGGCUGCCGGUGCCCACGGCGGUGCCGGAGUCGGUGAUCGACCCCGGCGGACCGUCACGUCUGGAUGGGAGACGCGGUCGCACUCCACCAAGAAGGUCGAGCGACCCGGGGGUGCUGGGUGCGGGACCUAGGGGUGGCACCCCACCACCCAUGGCGGAUGCGACACACGUGGACGGUGAUCUGGGCCGCCAUGAGAGACGCGGUGCGGGCGCCGCGGGUAUAAAUCCUGAAUCCUUCCAUCCCCUCGACCUUGAUUCCGCCCUUUCCCAUCUCUGGGCGGCGGCGAAAAACCCUAGAUCCAGCAUCCCACCUUCCUUCCACUGGUGGCGCGGCAAGGUUGGGGGUGACGAGAGGUCGUUUGCGGAGGUCGCGGCCUCUCCGGUGCAGGCCUCUCUGAUGGCUGGUGGCGGGGAGCGCGGCUACCGGGGCGACAAACGCGAAGGCGGUGGAUCUGGGCGGAUGGAGCGGGGAGCUGGACGUUUCGACCGCGGGCGCAAGUUCUCCUGGCGGAGAAACGAUGGAGAGGCCGACCACAUCUCCUCCAACAACGACCACUCCACGGGCGCAGUGGACCGAUGGGAAGCUGCUGCGGCUGGGUGUCAAGAUGUGAGAUCCGGCGGGGUUUGGGUGGAGAGGCCCAAGGCUGCGUCUGGAUCUGGUGGGGGGACAACAUCGACAAGCAGCCUGGAGAGAUGCCACAGCGCCGCGUGCAGGGCAACCAAGGCAAUCAGGUGA